RNAcentral lists this ribosomal RNA (674 nucleotides) under uncultured bacterium. RNAcentral describes it as "bacterial SSU rRNA". It matches the Rfam family "Bacterial small subunit ribosomal RNA", at positions 649 to 1320 of the family's 1533-position model. The record is from RNAcentral.
UNGGAGAGGAAAGUGGAAUUCNUAGUGUAGCGGUGAAAUGCGUAGAUAUUAGGAAGANCACCAGUGGCGAAGGCGACUUUCUGGACGAAAACUGACGCUGAGGCGCGAAAGCCAGGGGAGCGAACGGGAUUAGAUACCCCGGUANUCCUGGCCGUAAACGAUGGGUACUAGGUGUAGGAGGUAUCGACCCCUUCUGUGCCGGAGUUAACGCAAUAAGUACCCCGCCUGGGGAGUACGACCGCAAGGUUGAAACUCAAAGGAAUUGACGGGGGCCCGCACAAGCGGUGGAGUAUGUGGCUUAAUCCGACGCGACGCGAAGAACCUUACCAGGUCUUGACAUUGAUGGACAGAACCAGAGAUGGUUCCUCUUCUUCGGAAGCCAGAAAACAGGUGGUGCACGGUUGUCGUCAGCUCGUGUCGUGAGAUGUUGGGUUAAGUCCCGCAACGAGCGCAACCCCUAUCUUAUGUUGCCAGCACGUAAAGGUGGGAACUCAUGAGAGACUGCCGCAGACAAUGCGGAGGAAGGCGGGGAUGACGUCAAAUCAUCAUGCCCCUUAUGACCUGGGCUACACACGUACUACAAUGGGAGUUAAUAGACGGAAGCGAGAUCGCGAGAUGGAGCAAACCCGAGAAACACUCUCUCAGUUCGGAUCGUAGGCUGCAACUCGCCUACG